Molecule: long non-coding RNA, 1154 nt
Organism: Phyllopteryx taeniolatus (common seadragon)
Lineage: Eukaryota; Metazoa; Chordata; Actinopteri; Syngnathiformes; Syngnathidae
Exons: 3
Source: RefSeq, a predicted model, not a curated record
GGGACCUGCUAAUUCAUUUAGUGUCCACUUGACACACGCCAGACCUCCUCAGUGGCCGUCUUGCUUGGAAGAAUGCAGCUUAUCAAGUUGUGGGAGAGGUGCAGGUAGCGGGAGCAUGUCCGCUACAACAGCCAAAGAACUGGUCAUCAAAGAUGGGGAGGAACUGAACAGGUGUCAGGUCGCCUAUCCCAGCUGACUUGGGGCGAAAGUAAGACUACACCUCGGACCGGGCGCCAGUCAGUCGACACGGGCAACAAUUCGCACUCACAGUCGCUGAGUGGGAACCGAACCCAUGCUGCCCGCACCAAAGUCAGGCGAGUGUACCAUUACACAGUCAGUGAGUCCAGGGGAAAUCAUUUUGUGGAAACCUUUGAAUGACGUGUGUCAAGCGAUGACUUUCCAGUUUUGUCCCAACGUAUGACUUCAGCAAUUUUCAUUUGACUUGGAAAUUUGUACCAGUUUGCAAUGAUACGUCUUAAUGUUUUCGCUAGAUCCUCAUUGAUGUUUUAGAAUACUCUGAACACACUGUGUACAGAAAGUCACAGGACACGGAAUACGAUACCAUGUUGUUACCAACCCCGGAAAUAACUUUUUCCCAUUUCAAUGGCAAUUGCUGCUACUACACGGAUUCAAUACAACAAGGACAUCGAGACCAAACAUCGAUGACCAAUCAUCUUUUAACAAAAGUUUAUAUGCAAACAGUUUUCAUCGUCAUUACAGAAAUAGAGAAAACGUGGCGGCGGUGUGGCAAUGUACGUCAACAAUAACCUCAACUUCAAAGUGGCAACUGCAAUUUCAAAUUGUAAUUCAUUAGGAUCAUCGCCAAAAUCACUGUUCCUCAUAGCUGUGGAUGAGCGACAAAUCAGAGAUUGUGCAUAAAGGAGAAAAAAAAAAAACAAAAAAGUAUAAAGACAUCAACAUGACAAUGGUUAAAACAAUGAGGAUGUAGCUAAAAAUAAAACUGUUACAAAUUUCCAAGUAAAAUGAAAAUUGCUAAAGUCACACGUUGGGACAAAACUGCAAAAAGUCAAUCACUUCUCACAUUACAGGCCUGUUUCACUAAAUAAAAAAUAAAAAACAAGCCUCAACGGACAGUGUGGAUCCAUUCAUAGAAAACCUCACAGACUGUAUAUGGAUUAAGAACUAACCACUUU